Molecule: ribosomal RNA, 414 nt
Filed under: uncultured microorganism
Description: bacterial SSU rRNA
Rfam family: Archaeal small subunit ribosomal RNA
Source: RNAcentral
CAGCCGCCGCGGUAAUACCGGCGGCCCGAGUGGCGGUCACUAUUAUUUGGCUUAAAGCGUCCGUAGCCGGGUUGGGAAGUCCUCCGGGAAAUCUGGCCGCUUAACGGUCAGAAUGCCGGAGGAUACUCCCAGCCUAGGGAGCGGGGGAGGCCGAGGGGAUUCCCGGAGUAGGGGGGAAAUCCUAUAAUCCCGGGAGGACCACCUGUGGCGAAGGCGCUCGGCUGGAACGCGUCCGACGGUGAGGGACGAAGGCCAGGGGAGCAAACCGGAUUAGAUACCCGGGUAGUCCUGGCUGUAAACGAUGCGGACUUUGUGUCGGACAAGCUAUGAGCUUGUCCGGUGCCGGAGGGAAACCGUUAAGUCCGCCGCCUGGGGAGUACGGCCGCAAGGCUGAAACUUAAAGGAAUUGGCGGG